UGCAGAAAGCGGCAGGCUAGAGCAUGAGGCUAGUGUGGAGGGGAAGACCACAGUUCCAAGGAGGAAGAGGAUCCCCACCACAGUGAGUGAUCGGUGGACACUGAAACGGAAGGAUGACUGGGAGGAUGAGCUGCGAUGGAAGCCAUGUAUGACGAUCUCUGGGUCCAUCCAUGUUGCUGCAAAUGGCAUGAUUUCGUUCUUUUUUAUGGCUGAGUACACAUAGCUGAUUCUAAGAAGAUGAUGGUCAGUGGUGGUUUGAUGGAUGGUGCAUAGAUAACCUCUUGGAGACCCAUCCACUGUCCACCUCACCACCAGCAGGUGAACCCUGUGCGUCCUCUUGCUCUUUCAGAGACUCUUAAGUCAGGUUGCUGCUGCUGCUGCUGCUGCUGCUAAGUCACUUCAGUCGUGUCCGACUCUGUGCGACCCCAUAGACCGCAACCUACCAGGCUCCCCCGUCCCUGGGAUUUUCCAGGCAAGAACACUGGAGUGGGUUGCCAUUUCCCUCUCCAGUGCAUGAAAGUGAAAAGUGAAAGCGAAGCCGCUCAGUCGUGUCCAACCCUCAGCAACCCCAUGGACUGCAGCCUUCCGGGCUCCUAUUGAGCAGGUGAAUUUUUGGAAACAGUUCAUAUGGAAGACGAGGAUCUGGAAAUGAGUUCCCUUGAAACCAUCUGUACAGACAUGGCCCGUGGAACAUCCUUCUGUCCUCUCCCUGUUUGGAAGCUUCCACCCAGAGGUUCAGGGCCCAGGAGCUCUGUCUGAGAGAGCGCUAAGGGCAGAGGGUUUUCUUGGACCUGUUUUGUGUGCAAAGCACGUAUAAGUCAAAGCCUUUUUCCGCAAGUGAGGUUGGUUAAGCAGAGAAAAGACAGCGAGGUGUUUUGUUUGUCUGGAAUCCUAUGGGCUUGGAGGCACAAUCUGGUGUACAGCAGGCCAGAGGGUCUGGAGUUAGCUGUGAUAUCAGAUAGGAUGAAGUUUCUUUGCACUAACAGUGUCAGGAGCUGGAACUGGAGUUACAAGUCUAGUUUAAAGAGCUAUCCAAAGGUUUCCAUUUCUACUGGCUUGAGGGCAAAAGAGGUUGUUGGGGGGCUUGCCUUUGGCCUCUGAGCCCAAGGGAUUCCAAAUGAAUGCUCUGCAAAGGUAAGCCUGUAUCAUUCAGCUUUGUGCAUUCAUCCCCAUAGCUUGUGCAAGGCAGACAGUGUUCAAUAAAGAAAUAUUGUACCUGAGAAUAAAAUGGCAUUGUCCUUU
This is a long non-coding RNA of Bos taurus (domestic cattle), 1242 nucleotides long. The record is from Ensembl. Lineage: Eukaryota; Metazoa; Chordata; Mammalia; Artiodactyla; Bovidae.